This 618-nucleotide long non-coding RNA is filed under the name Olea europaea subsp. europaea. The record is from RNAcentral. Lineage: Eukaryota; Viridiplantae; Streptophyta; Magnoliopsida; Lamiales; Oleaceae.
GCCCAAUAUAAUUAUAGAGCAAACCACAAAAUUCGAAAAAAUAAAUAAAAUAAAAACUCACACAUUCAAUCGAAUAACAAAAGCAGAUCCGAAUCUGACAAUUCAACCCCAAAAUGAAACAACUAUUAAACACGGUGCAUUUUCAAACUCCAAUAUCAAAAUCAAACAUUGUUUCCCAUCUUACCGCUUCAAUUCUCCACCAUAAUACAAAAAAUCGAAAAACAGAAAAAAUCCGAACAUUCCAUUUCCAGAUCGAAAAAUUUUUUAAAAAAAUAAAAACUCAAAACAAAAAAAGGACAAACCUCUACGGUCUAGGCCAGAAGCUGCAAGAAGCAAAUACGUUGAACUAAUUAAAAAUGUAUCAAAUGGAAAGGGAAACGAAUAUCAUCAUUUUUCUGAUGUCAGAGAAGACUCUCGAUUGGUUUCUAGGAUUCGCAGAUCGAGCGUUGCGUGGUUUCUUCUCUGUGUUUUAGGGCCUCCAAAUUUGAUUUCUAUUUUUAAUUUUGUUUUUUCGUGAGGUUUUCGGAAAAAUCUGGAGGAAGAGAGAAAAAAUAAUAAUAAUAGGCGACAGCGAAUUUCUUGGUGGCAGGCAUGUGUGUAUCGUCCAGCAGCUCGUUU